UACGAAGGGGGCUAGCGUUGUUCGGAAUUACUGGGCGUAAAGCGCACGUAGGCGGAUUGUUAAGUGAGAGGUGAAAUCCCGGGGCUCAACCCCGGAACUGCCUUUCAUACUGGCAGUCUCGAGUUCGGGAGAGGUGAGUGGAAUUCCGAGUGUAGAGGUGAAAUUCGUAGAUAUUCGGAGGAACACCAGUGGCGAAGGCGGCUCACUGGCCCGAAACUGACGCUGAGGUGCGAAAGCGUGGGGAGCAAACAGG
This 253-nucleotide unclassified non-coding RNA is filed under the name uncultured Alphaproteobacteria bacterium. Its description in RNAcentral is "contains 16S-23S intergenic spacer region". It matches the Rfam family "Bacterial small subunit ribosomal RNA", at positions 524 to 776 of the family's 1533-position model. The record is from RNAcentral. Lineage: Bacteria; Pseudomonadati; Pseudomonadota; Alphaproteobacteria.